RNAcentral lists this ribosomal RNA (982 nucleotides) under Falciformispora senegalensis. RNAcentral's name for it is "eukaryotic LSU rRNA". It matches the Rfam family "Eukaryotic large subunit ribosomal RNA", at positions 74 to 1069 of the family's 3401-position model. Lineage: Eukaryota; Fungi; Ascomycota; Dothideomycetes; Pleosporales; Trematosphaeriaceae. The record is from RNAcentral.
AUUGCCCUAGUAACGGCGAGUGAAGCGGCAACAGCUCAAAUUUGAAAUCUGGAUUCCUUGACUGGGUCCCGAGUUGUAAUUUGCAGAGGGUGCUUUGGCGUGGGCGGCGGUCUAAGUUCCUUGGAACAGGACGUCACAGAGGGUGAGAAUCCCGUACGUGGCUGCACUGCCCGCGCCGUGUAAAGCCCCUUCGACGAGUCGAGUUGUUUGGGAAUGCAGCUCUAAAUGGGAGGUAAAUUUCUUCUAAAGCUAAAUACUGGCCAGAGACCGAUAGCGCACAAGUAGAGUGAUCGAAAGAUGAAAAGCACUUUGGAAAGAGAGUCAAACAGCACGUGAAAUUGUUGAAAGGGAAGCGCUUGCAGCCAGACUUGCCUGCGGUUGCUCAGCCGGGCCUCGUGCCCGGUGCACUCUUCCGCGGGCAGGCCAGCAUCAAUUUGGGCGGCUGGAGAAUGGCCUCUGUCACGUACUACCCUUCGGGGUAGCCUUAUAGGGGAGUCGUCAUGCAGUCAGCCUGGAUUGAGGACCGCGCUUCGGCGAGGAUGCUGGCGUAAUGGCCGCAAGCGGCCCGUCUUGAAACACGGACCAAGGAGUCUAACAUCUAUGCGAGUGUUUGGGUGUCAAGCCCGGGCGCGCAAUGAAAGUGAACGGAGGUGGGAACCCCCUUGGGGCGCACCAUCGACCGAUCCUGAUGUCUUCGGAUGGAUUUGAGUAAGAGCAUAGCUGUUGGGACCCGAAAGAUGGUGAACUAUGCUUGAAUAGGGUGAAGCCAGAGGAAACUCUGGUGGAAGCUCGCAGCGGUUCUGACGUGCAAAUCGAUCGUCAAAUUUGGGCAUAGGGGCGAAAGACUAAUCGAACUAUCUAGUAGCUGGUUCCUGCCGAAGUUUCCCUCAGGAUAGCAGUAACGUAUUCAGUUUUAUGAGGUAAAGCGAAUGAUUAGAGGCCUGGGGGUUGAAACAACCUUCACCUAUUCUCAAACUUUAAA